RNAcentral lists this long non-coding RNA (942 nucleotides) under Anser cygnoides (Swan goose). Its description in RNAcentral is "lncRNA (ENSACDG00005019042.1)". Lineage: Eukaryota; Metazoa; Chordata; Aves; Anseriformes; Anatidae. The record is from RNAcentral.
AUGCAGCUUGAGGUCCUGACUCGCACAACACACCCGUCAUUUUGGGAUGGUUCUCACCUGGGGAAGAGCUUUUCCUCCCUCCCCUACACACAGGUGCUGCUGAGCUCCCUGGGCACGGUUUGCAGAGGAUUAUGGUACGAGAGGUUUAGGAUAAAUGAGGGGGUUUGUUACUGUUGCUCUCUCUGUGGGCAGCCUGGUGCUGCUGAGUUGUGGUCAAGGGCUCUAGUGCAGUGCACGCUGGUGCUGCUGCCUUCCCCAGCUCUGCUGGAAGCCAUCUCGCUGGCCUGUCAGGCCAGAUGUUUAGCAACCAGAUUUUCCAGGGUCAAGAAGCGUGGGGGAAGAGACGAGUGCUCUGCUGCCUGGCUGAGGUCGCCUUUGGAGCCAUUUCCAUGGGCUCCUACCAAUCCAUUGAAGGCAAAGCACUCCUUUACCCAGUCCUGAGCACAUGUUGGACCCUGGCCCUAUAACCACAUUUUGGAGCAGGUUCAACUUCGUUGUGUUCCUCAUCUGCACUGCAAGAGAGAGGUUUGGGAGCAGCUUUCCUUGGCACCAGCUGGAAACCAAGCUGAUUUUCAGCCCUGCCAUCAACUGCUAAGGUAACCUUUUCCUGCCUGCCUUUUGUUGUAGAAGCUGGGGCUUGAGGCAGGUGAACGUAUCAAGGUGUUUUCUUGCUCUUGUCUACAGCAGUGUGUUUCUUGUGCUAGCUAGUGUAACUGUGUUAGACACCUUGGUGAAACCCGAGCACUACCCAACUCAGUCAUCACAUAGCAGAUAAAAUAUCAACAGUAACCUGUAGCACAUGCAAGGGUGGAGCUCAGAAAAAGUGCCCAAGUGACUGGGAAUGUGUCAUAGGGUGAAGGCACCUCCAGCUCUGGGAGCAAGAAGGUCCCAUUUCAACAAAACGGCAAUAAAUUGGCCAGAAUAACUAUCUGGUAACGGUGC